ACCAUUGUCGUCCAGUGGUUUAGGAUGCCAGGUUUUCAAACAAUACGUUGAUCCCCUGGAGACCGGGGUUCGAACCCCCGCAAUGGUA
Molecule: transfer RNA, 88 nt
Filed under: Hypoxylon cercidicola
Lineage: Eukaryota; Fungi; Ascomycota; Sordariomycetes; Xylariales; Hypoxylaceae
Description: tRNA-Glu
Rfam family: tRNA
About the family: Transfer RNA (tRNA) molecules are approximately 80 nucleotides in length.
Source: RNAcentral